This 30-nucleotide non-coding RNA is filed under the name Homo sapiens (human). Lineage: Eukaryota; Metazoa; Chordata; Mammalia; Primates; Hominidae. The record is from RNAcentral.
UGGGUCAGACCUCUGAAGACUUCUCAGAUG